AUCGAAGCCUAUAGCCGUCUCUUUCGGGGGACGUGAUGGGUGGCUGGUGUCCUCCUGUUGAGGGGUGUAUGACGCAGUGUGGGCCGGCCUUCCGGGUCGCGAAUCCCCACUUCUGCGGCGGACCACCCCUUGAGCAAACCAGUGGGGGCAAUUGGAUGACCCGUGGAUGCUUCUCGGCGGCCCUGGCCCCGUUAAGUCGCCCGGGUCGGGCGCUGGGCUUCGGCCCUGGCCCCGACCUCUUAACUAACUCUGACCCCCUCUUCGCGGAGGGUUCCGGCCGUGGCUUGCCUUUGGUGGUCCACUUCCCGGUUAAGAUAGUUACCUGGUUGAUUCUGCCAGUAGUCAUAUGCUUGUCUCAA
Molecule: unclassified non-coding RNA, 359 nt
Filed under: Thysanothecium scutellatum
Lineage: Eukaryota; Fungi; Ascomycota; Lecanoromycetes; Lecanorales; Cladoniaceae
Description: partial 28S-18S ribosomal RNA intergenic spacer
Source: RNAcentral